RNAcentral lists this ribosomal RNA (433 nucleotides) under uncultured bacterium. RNAcentral's name for it is "partial 16S ribosomal RNA". It matches the Rfam family "Bacterial small subunit ribosomal RNA", at positions 29 to 507 of the family's 1533-position model. The record is from RNAcentral.
AACGAACGCUGGCGGCAUGCCUAACACAUGCAAGUCGAACGAGCCCUUCGGGUCCUGUGGCGCACGGGUGCGUAACGGGUGGGAACCUGCCCUUAGGUUUGGAAUAACUCUCAGAAUGGGGUGCCUAUACCGGAUAAUGUCUUCGGACCAAAGAUGUAUCGCCUUUGGGUGGUCCGGCGUUGGAUUCGCUAGUUGGUAGGGUAAUAGCCUACUACGGCGACGAUGCAUAGCUUGUUUGGGAGGAUGGUCAGCCACACUGGGAGUGAGACGCGGCCCGGACUCUUACGGGAGGCGGGAGUGGGGAAUAGUGCAACGUGGGCGGAAGGCUGAACCAGCUAGGCCGGGAGAGUGAUGAAAGCCGGGGAGUUGUAAAGUUCUUGUACCCGGGAUGAUAUUGACGGUACCGAGAGAAAAAGCUCCGGCUAACUCCGUG